AACGAACGCUGGCGGCAUGCCUAACACAUGCAAGUCGAACGAGACCUUCGGGUCUAGUGGCGCACGGGUGCGUAACGCGUGGGAACCUGCCCUUAGGUUCGGAAUAACUCCCCGAAAGGGGUGCUAAUACCGGAUAAUGUCUUCGGACCAAAGAUUUAUCGCGUUUGGAUGGGCCCGCGUUGGAUUAGCUUGUUGGUAGGGUAAAAGCCUACCAAGGCGACGAUCCAUAGCUGGUCUGAGAGGAUGAUCAACCACACUGGGACUGAGACACGGCCCAGACUCCUACGGGAGGCAGGAGUGGGGAAUAUUGGACAAUGGGCGAAAGCCUGAUCCAGCAAUGCCGCGUGAGUGAUGAAGGCCUUAGGGUUGUAAAGCUCUUUUACCCGGGAUGAUAAUGACAGUACCGGGAGAAUAAGCUCCGGCUAACUCCGUG
This 433-nucleotide ribosomal RNA is filed under the name uncultured bacterium. Its description in RNAcentral is "partial 16S ribosomal RNA". It matches the Rfam family "Bacterial small subunit ribosomal RNA", at positions 29 to 507 of the family's 1533-position model. The record is from RNAcentral.